Molecule: ribosomal RNA, 453 nt
Filed under: uncultured Allobrachymonas sp.
Lineage: Bacteria; Pseudomonadati; Pseudomonadota; Betaproteobacteria; Burkholderiales; Comamonadaceae
Description: bacterial SSU rRNA
Rfam family: Bacterial small subunit ribosomal RNA
Source: RNAcentral
GCACAAGCGGUGGAUGAUGUGGUUUAAUUCGAUGCAACGCGAAAACCUUACCACCUUUGACAUGGCAGGAAUCCCGAAGAGAUUUGGGAGUGCUCGAAAGAGAACCUGCACACAGGUGCUGCAUGGCUGUCGUCAGCUCGUGUCGUGAGAUGUUGGGUUAAGUCCCGCAACGAGCGCAACCCUUGCCAUUAGUUGCUACGAAAGGGCACUCUAAUGGGACUGCCGGUGACAAACCGGAGGAAGGUGGGGAUGACGUCAAGUCCUCAUGGCCCUUAUAGGUGGGGCUACACACGUCAUACAAUGGCCGGUACAGAGGGUUGCCAAGCCGCGAGGUGGAGCUAAUCUCACAAAACCGAUCGUAGUCCGGAUCGCAGUCUGCAACUCGACUGCGUGAAGUCGGAAUCGCUAGUAAUCGUGAAUCAGAAUGUCACGGUGAAUACGUUCCCGGGCCUU